This 521-nucleotide ribosomal RNA is filed under the name uncultured bacterium. RNAcentral's name for it is "bacterial SSU rRNA". It matches the Rfam family "Bacterial small subunit ribosomal RNA", at positions 24 to 518 of the family's 1533-position model. The record is from RNAcentral.
UCAGGACGAACGCUGGCGGCGUGCCUAAUACAUGCAAGUCGAACGGUCUUUCUAUGGAAGCUUGCUUCCACUGAGAAGAUAGUGGCGAACGGGUGAGUAACACGUGGGUAACCUGCCCAUAAGAGGGGGGUAACAUCCGGAAACGGGUGCUAAUACCGCAUAGUUUUCUUGAUCGCAUGAUCGGGAAAGGAAAGACGGCCUUUGUGCUGUCGCUUAUGGAUGGACCCGCGGCGUAUUAGUUAGUUGGUGAGGUAAUGGCUCACCAAGACGAUGAUACGUAGCCGACCUGAGAGGGUGAUCGGCCACAUUGGGACUGAGACACGGCCCAAACUCCUACGGGAGGCAGCAGUAGGGAAUCUUCCGCAAUGGACGAAAGUCUGACGGAGCAACGCCGCGUGAGUGAAGAAAGGUUUUCGGAUCGUAAAACUCUGUUGUCAGAGAAGAACAAGUUGGAGAGUAACUGCUCCAGCCUUGACGGUAUCUGACCAGAAAGCCACGGCUAACUACGUGCCAGCCGCCGC